RNAcentral lists this ribosomal RNA (499 nucleotides) under uncultured bacterium. RNAcentral's name for it is "bacterial SSU rRNA". It matches the Rfam family "Bacterial small subunit ribosomal RNA", at positions 8 to 518 of the family's 1533-position model. The record is from RNAcentral.
AGAGUUUGAUCCCGGCUCAGGAUGAACGCUGGCGGCGUGCUUAACACAUGCAAGUCGAACGGACAUUUAAUGAAACCUAGUGAUUUAAAUGUUAGUGGCGGACGGGUGAGUAACGCGUGGGUAACCUGCCUUACACUGGGGGAUAACACUUAGAAAUAGGUGCUAAUACCGCAUAAGCGCACAGCUUUGCAUGAAGCAGUGUGAAAAACUCCGGUGGUGUAAGAUGGACCCGCGUCUGAUUAGCUAGUUGGUGAGGUAAUGGCUCACCAAGGCGACGAUCAGUAGCCGGCCUGAGAGGGUGAACGGCCACAUUGGGACUGAGACACGGCCCAAACUCCUACGGGAGGCAGCAGUGGGGAAUAUUGGACAAUGGGGGAAACCCUGAUCCAGCGACGCCGCGUGAGUGAAGAAGUAUUUCGGUAUGUAAAGCUCUAUCAGCAGGGAAGAAAAUGACGGUACCUGACUAAGAAGCCCCGGCUAACUACGUGCCAGCCGCCGC